RNAcentral lists this microRNA precursor (99 nucleotides) under Nelumbo nucifera (sacred lotus). The record is from RNAcentral. Lineage: Eukaryota; Viridiplantae; Streptophyta; Magnoliopsida; Proteales; Nelumbonaceae.
GAAAAGCUGAGGUAUUGACGUGCCUCAAUUUGAAGACAUGGUUAGACGACCCAUAGCCAUGUUUUCGGAUUGAGCCGCGUCAAUAUCUCCUCUCUCUCU